UGGGGAAUUUUGGACAAUGGGCGAAAGCCUGAUCCAGCAAUGCCGCGUGUGUGAAGAAGGCCUUCGGGUUGUAAAGCACUUUUGUCCGGAAAGAAAUGGCUCUGGUUAAUACCUGGGGUCGAUGACGGUACCGGAAGAAUAAGGACCGGCUAACUACGUGCCAGCAGCCGCGGUAAUACAUAGGGUCCAAGCGUUAAUCGGAAUUACUGGGCGUAAAGCGUGCGCAGGCGGUUGUGCAAGACCGAUGUGAAAUCCCCGAGCUUAACUUGGGAAUUGCAUUGGUGACUGCACGGCUAGAGUGUGUCAGAGGGGGGUAGAAUUCCACGUGUAGCAGUGAAAUGCGUAGAGAUGUGGAGGAAUACCGAUGGCGAAGGCAGCCCCCUGGGAUAACACUGACGCUCAUGCACGAAAGCGUGGGGAGCAAACAGG
Molecule: ribosomal RNA, 429 nt
Filed under: Acidobacteriota bacterium
Lineage: Bacteria; Pseudomonadati; Acidobacteriota
Description: Acidobacteria bacterium partial 16S ribosomal RNA
Rfam family: Bacterial small subunit ribosomal RNA
Source: RNAcentral